This 202-nucleotide ribosomal RNA is filed under the name Malasseziales sp. Its description in RNAcentral is "partial large subunit ribosomal RNA". The record is from RNAcentral. Lineage: Eukaryota; Fungi; Basidiomycota; Malasseziomycetes; Malasseziales.
AAACGCUUGAAGUCAGUCGCGUCUGCCGGAACUCAGCCUUGCUUCUGCUCGGUGCACUUUCCGGUAGGACGGGCCAGCAUCGGUUUCGGGUGGUGGACACUGGCUUGGGGAAGGUGGCGGCUCCGGCCGCGUUAUAGCCCCGAGUGUCAUGCGGCCUUCCGGGACCGAGGAACGCGCUUCGGCUCGGAUGUUGGCGUAAUGG